UGAACGCUAGCUACAGGCUUAACACAUGCAAGUCGAGGGGCAGCAUGGUCUUAGCUUGCUAAGGCCGAUGGCGACCGGCGCACGGGUGAGUAACACGUAUCCAACCUGCCGUCUACUCUUGGACAGCCUUCUGAAAGGAAGAUUAAUACAAGAUGGCAUCAUGAGUCCGCAUGUUCACAUGAUUAAAGGUAUUCCGGUAGACGAUGGGGAUGCGUUCCAUUAGAUAGUAGGCGGGGUAACGGCCCACCUAGUCUUCGAUGGAUAGGGGUUCUGAGAGGAAGGUCCCCCACAUUGGAACUGAGACACGGUCCAAACUCCUACGGGAGGCAGCAGUGAGGAAUAUUGGUCAAUGGGCGAGAGCCUGAACCAGCCAAGUAGCGUGAAGGAUGACUGCCCUAUGGGUUGUAAACUUCUUUUAUAAAGGAAUAAAGUCGGGUAUGGAUACCCGUUUGCAUGUACUUUAUGAAUAAGGAUCGGCUAACUCCGUGCCAGCAGCCGCGGUAAUACGGAGGAUCCGAGCGUUAUCCGGAUUUAUUGGGUUUAAAGGGAGCGUAGAUGGAUGUUUAAGUCAGUUGUGAAAGUUUGCGGCUCAACCGUAAAAUUGCAGUUGAUACUGGAUAUCUUGAGUGCAGUUGAGGCAGGCGGAAUUCGUGGUGUAGCGGUGAAAUGCUUAGAUAUCACGAAGAACUCCGAUUGCGAAGGCAGCCUGCUAAGCUGCAACUGACAUUGAGGCUCGAAAGUGUGGGUAUCAAACAGGAUUAGAUACCCUGGUAGUCCACACGGUAAACGAUGAAUACUCGCUGUUUGCGAUAUACUGCAAGCGGCCAAGCGAAAGCGUUAAGUAUUCCACCUGGGGAGUACGCCGGCAACGGUGAAACUCAAAGGAAUUGACGGGGGCCCGCACAAGCGGAGGAACAUGUGGUUUAAUUCGAUGAUACGCGAGGAACCUUACCCGGGCUUAAAUUGCAGAUGAAUUACGGUGAAAGCCGUAAGCCGCAAGGCAUCUGUGAAGGUGCUGCAUGGUUGUCGUCAGCUCGUGCCGUGAGGUGUCGGCUUAAGUGCCAUAACGAGCGCAACCCUUGUUGUCAGUUACUAACAGGUUCCGCUGAGGACUCUGACAAGACUGCCAUCGUAAGAUGUGAGGAAGGUGGGGAUGACGUCAAAUCAGCACGGCCCUUACGUCCGGGGCUACACACGUGUUACAAUGGGGGGUACAGAGGGCCGCUACCACGCGAGUGGAUGCCAAUCCCCAAAACCUCUCUCAGUUCGGACUGGAGUCUGCAACCCGACUCCACGAAGCUGGAUUCGCUAGUAAUCGCGCAUCAGCCACGGCGCGGUGAAUACGUUCCCGGGCCUUGUACACACCGCCCGUCAAGCCAUGGGAGCCGGGGGUACCUGAAGUGCGUAACCGCGAGGAGCGCCCUAGGGUAAAACUGGUGACUGGGGC
This 1447-nucleotide ribosomal RNA is filed under the name uncultured organism. Its description in RNAcentral is "16S ribosomal RNA". It matches the Rfam family "Bacterial small subunit ribosomal RNA". The record is from RNAcentral.